UCCAAAAUGAAAUCUUUCCGAAACAUUCCUCCUCCCACCACCCAACUCCAACAAACCACAGUGAGACACAUUUGGACCCUUCAAUAUAAUCAAUACUAAGUCCAUCAGGGGAGAGAGGAGUCUCCCUUGCACCAUAGACCCCCAGGAAACACAGCUGCCACUCCUUGUGUUUCCAUGUCACACAUGGCACCGCCCGGAGAAAGAAAGUUUGCCAGUGUGACCCUCUCCUUUCCAUGCACAGUGCUCUCACCACCGAUGCAUGCAUGGACAGACUGCUUUUAGGAUUUUUCCUUUCAAGGAUACUCUUCCAAGAGGGAAAAAAACAACAGUUCAGUUUUUCAUUUUUUUGGGACCACAGUCCCCCCCAUUUUCUUCCUCCCCUGGGGCCGAGGGUCUCAGGAACAAAGAUCUUCUCUUCUUCUUCUCUGAAGACAGGGGGCACCACCACAAACCUCCCCAACUUUCCUCUGUUCGCUCCACUCCUGUGUUUUCAUCAGCUGCUGAAGCAGGUCUCUUGGCUCACCAGCAUCCUCCUAAAAUACAGUCUCUCUCUUGGAGGAGAAAAUCAGUUCAGUCUAUGGCUAACAAGAAAAAGUCCAGCCAGAAGCCACUCCAUCAUCUCCUUCCACCCAGAAUUUCUCCUUCUAACAUCUCGGGUCCCAGGCUGUCUCUCUUCUUCUUUUUCAAACCGGGGAGGAGUAAAAUUUCACAAAGCUUUCAUUUCUCAAGGGAGGGUUAAAAGUCCCAAUUCCCUGGCUGGCUCUCUGCCCGGAUCUCCGGCUCCCACCUGGGAGCUGGGCACCUUGGGGCCUUGGGGCCCCCCCGCUCUCCUCCUUCCCUGCGGUACUGCUGGCAAACUGUUGCUGUCUCUUUUGAGAGAGAGACUCUGGGGGAUGAGGGGGGGGGGGAACGGAGAUGUCCCAGAUUUUUUCCACCCUUCCAUCUGCAGGGGCCAGCCCGGUUCCAGUCCCUCCACCCUUCGGCCUUACCACAGCCAAGCCUCGGGCCUUCCCUCCCCCACCCAGCGAGGGGCCGGGCAGGGGAGAGUCCUGCACUGCGCCCUGACUGGAACAAAAAAGAGAGCGAGUUCCCCUGGGAAUGUUGCUUUUAACCCCUCUGUGUUCUCAGAGGCGUGUCCACCUUCAAUUGGUCACCCCAAGCGUCAAUAUCC
This 1171-nucleotide long non-coding RNA is filed under the name Chloebia gouldiae (Gouldian finch). Its description in RNAcentral is "Erythrura gouldiae (Gouldian finch) lncRNA (ENSEGOG00005008444.1)". The record is from RNAcentral. Lineage: Eukaryota; Metazoa; Chordata; Aves; Passeriformes; Passeridae.